CAUGCAAGUCGAACGAGAAGCUCUUCGGAGCAGUAAAGUGGCAAACGGGUGAGGAAUGCAUGGGUAACCUACCCUUGAGAAGGGAAUAACCCGCCGAAAGGUGAGCUAAUACCCUAUACGCUUCUUGUCUUAUGGGAUGAGAUGGAAAGCUAAGCCGUGGGUUUGGCACUCAAGGAGGGGCUCAUGUCCUAUCAGCUUGUUGGUAGGGUAACGGCCUACCAAGGCAACGACGGGUAGCUGGUCUGAGAGGAUGAUCAGCCACACUGGCACUGAGAUACGGGCCAGACUCCUACGGGAGGCAGCAGUGAGGAAUAUUGCGCAAUGGGCGAAAGCCUGACGCAGCGACGCCGCGUGGGGGAUGAAGGUUCUCGGAUUGUAAACCCCUUUCGUGAGGGAAGAUAAAGUGGGUAACCACCUAGACGGUACCUCAAGAAGAAGCCACGGCUAACUUCGUGCCAGCAGCCGCGGUAAUACGAAGGUGGCGAGCGUUGUUCGGAUUUACUGGGCGUAAAGAGCACGUAGGCGGUUGGGUAAGCCUCUUGGGAAAUCUCCCGGCUUAACCGGGAAAGGUCGAGGGGAACUACUCAGCUAGAGGGCGGG
This 600-nucleotide ribosomal RNA is filed under the name uncultured Nitrospirota bacterium. RNAcentral describes it as "bacterial SSU rRNA". It matches the Rfam family "Bacterial small subunit ribosomal RNA", at positions 54 to 652 of the family's 1533-position model. Lineage: Bacteria; Pseudomonadati; Nitrospirota. The record is from RNAcentral.